Non-coding RNA from Oryctolagus cuniculus (rabbit), 496 nucleotides. The record is from RefSeq and is a predicted model, not a curated record. Lineage: Eukaryota; Metazoa; Chordata; Mammalia; Lagomorpha; Leporidae.
GACCCCAAAAGCGGUGUCCUCUUGUGACGACCCCAGAAACACAGACUCCGGACCAGACGAUGCAAUAGAACAGGAGGUAAUUUAUUUCAUUUGUACAAAUGGGCCCCCUACUGCUGCAAGCAGCAAGCAAGUGAGAGGAGCCCCGAGCAGCUAUCUCACACAGCUUUUAAAGGGCAAAACCACAAAAUUAACAUAUUAUAGGCUGGCAUAAGUUCAUUGGAUAAUUUUCAGUAGCGGGCCUUGUAUGGCAGUCUGAAGUGCUAAUGUCGGUGGAAAAGUACUAGGUCAAAGGGAUACAUUAGGGGAGGGGGUUUCUAGGAGACAGGAGUAGGUUGCUACGUGCCUUGCAGCUUUCUUUGUUAACCUUGAGCAAGCGUAGGGAAGGGGCUUAUCUACAAGGCAGGUGUUCUGUGUAUCUCUGGUUAGUAGCUGACUGCUUUCUCUGUGAACCGGUUUACUCCCCAUUUCCCAAGGCCGUCUCUGGAACGGUUUGUCU